GUGACUCUCGCGCCGUGAUGUUAUGUGAUUUGAAAGUCACGCGGUAAAUUCGCGGGAGCUGGCUGCUAGUUGGCUAUAUAAGUAAAGCAGGCAGCGUGUCUGGGCAGUGCUUAGGUGACUCUCGCGCCAUGAUGUUAUGUGAUUUGAAAGUCACGCGGUAAAUUCGCGGGAGCUGGCUGCUAGUUGGCUAUAUAAGUAAAGCAGGCAGCGUGUCUGGGCAGUGCUUAGGUGACUCUCGCGCCGUGAUUUUAUGUGAUUUGAAAGUCACGCGGUAAAUUCACGGGAAGCUUGCUGACUUUGGCUAUAUAACUACAGUAGGCAUCGUGUCUGGCCAGUGCUUAGGUGACUCGCGCCGUGAUGUUAAGUGAUUUGAAAGUCACGCGGUUAAUUGGUGGGAGCUGACUGCUAGUUGGCUAUAUAAGUAAAGCAGGAAGCGUGUCUGGGCAGUGAAGCAGGCACCGUGUCUGGGCUGUGCUAGGUGACUCUCGCGCCGUGAUGUUAUGUGAUUUGAAAGUCACGCGGUAAAUUCGCGGGAGCUGGCUGCUAGUUGGCUAUAUAAGUAAAGCAGGCAGCGUGUUUCGCCAGUGCUUAGGUGACUCUCGCGCCGUGAUGUUAUGUGAUUUGAAAGUCACGCGGUAAAUUCGCGGGAGCUGGCUGCUAGUUGGCUAUAUAAGUAAAGCAGGCAGCGUGUCUGGGCAGUGCUUAGGUGACUCUCGCGCCAUGAUGUUAUGUGAUUUGAAAGUCACGCGGUAAAUUCGCGGGAGCUGGCUGCUAGUUGGCUAUAUAAAGUAAAGCUGGCAGCGUGUCUGGGCAGUGCUUAGGUGACUCUCGCGCCGUGAUGUUAUGUGAUUUGAAAGUCACGCGGUAAAUUCACGGGAAGCUAGCUGCUAGUUGGCUAUAUAGGUAAAGCAGGCAGCGUGUCUGGGCAGUGCUUAGGUGACUCUCGCGCCGUGAUGUUAUGUGAUUUGAAAGUCACGCGGUAAAUUCGCGGGAGCUGGCUGCUAGUUGGCUAUAUAAAUAAAGCAGCCUGCGUCCUUGGCCGGUGCUUCGGUGACUCUUGCGCCACGAUGAUGUGUGAUUUGAAAGUCACGCAGUAAAUUCGCGGGAAGCUAGCUGCCAGUGGGCUAUAUAAGUAAAGCACACAUCGUGUCUGGGCAGUGCUUAGGUGACUCUCGCGUCGUGAUGUUAUGAGAUUUGAAAGUCACGCGGUAAAUUC
Molecule: long non-coding RNA, 1216 nt
Organism: Bactrocera neohumeralis
Lineage: Eukaryota; Metazoa; Arthropoda; Insecta; Diptera; Tephritidae
Exons: 3
Source: RefSeq, a predicted model, not a curated record